GCAUAUCAAUAAGCGGAGGAAAAGAAACUAACAAGGAUUCCCCUAGUAGCGGCGAGCGAAGCGGGAAGAGCUCAAAUUUAUAAUCUGGCACCUUCGGUGUCCGAGUUGUAAUCUCUAGAAAUGUUUUCCGCGUUGGACCGCACACAAGUCUGUUGGAAUACAGCGGCAUAGUGGUGAGACCCCCGUAUAUGGUGCGGACGCCCAGCGCUUUGUGAUACAUUUUCGAAGAGUCGAGUUGUUUGGGAAUGCAGCUCAAAUUGGGUGGUAAAUUCCAUCUAAAGCUAAAUAUUGGCGAGAGACCGAUAGCGAACAAGUACCGUGAGGGAAAGAUGAAAAGCACUUUGGAAAGAGAGUUAACAGUACGUGAAAUUGUUGGAAGGGAAACGCUUGAAGUCAGACUUGCUUGCCGAGCAAUCGGUUUGCAGGCCAGCAUCAGUUUUCCGGGAUGGAUAAUGGUAGAGAGAAGGUAGCAGUUUCGGCUGUGUUAUAGCUCUCUGCUGGAUACAACUUGGGGGACUGAGGAACGCAGUGUGCCUUUGGCGGGGGUUUCGACCUCUUCACACUUAGGAUGCU
Molecule: ribosomal RNA, 573 nt
Filed under: Rhodotorula mucilaginosa
Lineage: Eukaryota; Fungi; Basidiomycota; Microbotryomycetes; Sporidiobolales; Sporidiobolaceae
Description: eukaryotic LSU rRNA
Rfam family: Eukaryotic large subunit ribosomal RNA
Source: RNAcentral